GCGUAACUCCGCAGUUCACUCGCAUAGUCUUCUCCCCUUGCAUGAUGAAAAUGGCUUCCUCUAGGGUUCUCCUCCUGUGCGGCCUCCUGUUGGCCGUUGUUGUUCUCAUGGUUGCACAGGUCUCGGCUCGUGACCUGGCUGAGAUGACUCAGUCGCAGGAGAACGUGAAGGAUACUCACCACGGCCAUGGAGAACACCACCACGGCGGCCAUGAAGGACACCACCACGGCGGACACCACCACGGCUGUCAUCACGGACACCACCACGGCUGUCAUCACGGUGGUCACCCUCCUGAAGAAACUGAAGAUGUCAAGAAUUAGAUGAUGGACUCAUUGAGUCCAUCAUCCUGUUGGGAAAAUGUGAGAGAAUGUAUGCUAUGUAACUCAUGGAAGCUUAUGAGCUUUUGUAAUGAGUGUCGAAUAAAAUGGUUUCUCUACUGUUGUAAGCAGCUUUGUUGUGUUUCGGUUGGUUCUUUUGGUGAUUUUAAGUACGAGUCGUCUCAAAUGUGUACUGAUGUUUGCAUAUGAAUGAAUGAAACCCACUUCUU
Rhodamnia argentea is the source of this 547-nucleotide RNA transcript. It is a transcript of the gene named glycine-rich protein DC7.1-like, with no coding region annotated. Lineage: Eukaryota; Viridiplantae; Streptophyta; Magnoliopsida; Myrtales; Myrtaceae. The record is from RefSeq and is a predicted model, not a curated record. The transcript is spliced from 4 exons.